GAUGAAGAACGCAGCGAAAUGCGAUAAGUAAUGUGAAUUGCAGAAUUCAGUGAAUCAUCGAAUCUUUGAACGCACAUUGCGCCCGCCAGUAUUCUGGCGGGCAUGCCUGUUCGAGCGUCAUUACAACCCUCAGGCCCCCGGGCCUGGCGUUGGGGAUCGGCGGAGCCCCCCGUGGGCACACGCCGUCCCCCAAAUGCAGUGGCGGUCCCGCCGCAGCUUCCAUCGCGUAGUAGCUAACACCUCGCGACUGGAGAGCGGCGCGGCCACGCCGUAAAACACCCAACUCUUCUGAAGUUGACCUCGAAUCAGGUAGGAAUACCCGCUGAACUUAAGCAUAUCAAUAGCGGAGGA
Molecule: unclassified non-coding RNA, 351 nt
Filed under: soil metagenome
Description: partial contains 5.8S ribosomal RNA, internal transcribed spacer 2, and large subunit ribosomal RNA
Rfam family: 5.8S ribosomal RNA (bases 1-120)
Source: RNAcentral